UCCCUUGAGGACUAGUGGUUAAGCCAUGGCACGCUCACCGCCAUGAUCCAGGUUCGAUUCUCGUCCAGGGAA
This 72-nucleotide transfer RNA is filed under the name Pangasianodon hypophthalmus (striped catfish). Its description in RNAcentral is "tRNA-Glu". The record is from RNAcentral. Lineage: Eukaryota; Metazoa; Chordata; Actinopteri; Siluriformes; Pangasiidae.